UUACGGAAUCCACGGGAUUUUCCCGCCCCGCCCAAGUCUUCCUUCCCGUUUCGUCCUCGAGGUGAUCGGUUGGGGUGAUGGCUCGAUCCAAGCACAGCCUCGCACUUCUCACCUUCAUCACCUUUGGGAUGAUUAUAGGCUGGAUCUCGUGAGUGCAGUUGAGGAGGAAACAUGGUAAAGGGGUUUUUCGCGAAACCAAUUGAAGAGGAUGCUGUUGUUUUCAGGAAAAUGCUCAAGUUCCAGUUGGUUAACUGUAGACAGAAGAAGAGUUUUGGCUUGACAAGGAUCAUCAUUUGGUCCUUCAGUUUAAAGGGGAUGAUGGAUUGGCAAUGAUGUGUUUGUCCUUAUUACCUUCCUAAAUAGACUAGGGUUCUCCACAUGAAGUUCUUGUGCGAGUGAAAGUUUUUGUAUCAGUUUCUGAAAGAUUUAUCAGCACUCUAUCAUCAUGAGGAAAACUUUAUUGUUUUUGACCUCAUUUAAAGAAGAGAACUGCAACUCUCAAACUAGAUGUGUUGCGAAUGGAGUUAAAUGUUUGCUUUGCAAAGCUGAA
This is a long non-coding RNA of Musa acuminata AAA Group (dessert banana), 550 nucleotides long. RefSeq lists it as uncharacterized. The transcript is spliced from 3 exons. The record is from RefSeq and is a predicted model, not a curated record. NCBI's taxonomy places the organism in Eukaryota, Viridiplantae, Streptophyta, Magnoliopsida, Zingiberales, Musaceae.